RNAcentral lists this ribosomal RNA (464 nucleotides) under uncultured bacterium. Its description in RNAcentral is "partial 16S ribosomal RNA". It matches the Rfam family "Bacterial small subunit ribosomal RNA", at positions 339 to 795 of the family's 1533-position model. The record is from RNAcentral.
CUACGGGUGGCAGCAGUGGGGAAUAUUGCACAAUGGGCGCAAGCCUGAUGCAGCCAUGCCGCGUGUAUGAAGAAGGCCUUCGGGUUGUAAAGUACUUUCAGCGGGGAGGAAGGGAGUAAAGUUAAUACCUUUGCUCAUUGACGUUACCCGCAGAAGAAGCACCGGCUAACUCUGUGCCAGCAGCCGCGGUAAUACGGAGUGUGCAAGCGUUAAUCGGAAUUACUGGGCGUAAAGCGCACGCAGGCGGUUUGUUAAGUCAGAUGUGAAAUCCCCGGGCUCAACCUGGGAACUGCAUCUGAUACUGGCAAGCUUGAGUCUCGUAGAGGGGGGUAGAAUUCCAGGUGUAGCGGUGAAAUGCGUAGAGAUCUGGAGGAAUACCGGUGGCGAAGGCGGCCCCCUGGACGAAGACUGACGCUCAGGUGCGAAAGCGUGGGGAGCAAACAGGAUUAGAUACCCGCGUAGUC